Bactrocera oleae (olive fruit fly) is the source of this 3335-nucleotide long non-coding RNA. RefSeq lists it as uncharacterized. The record is from RefSeq and is a predicted model, not a curated record. Lineage: Eukaryota; Metazoa; Arthropoda; Insecta; Diptera; Tephritidae.
GCUUUACCGCCACCACCACUUCAAUGGCGAUCGGCCAACUAACUCCGUUCUGCCUGUGCCGGUGCUGCAUCAUUCCGUUGUUGCAUUUCCACUUGUACACGUGUGGCAUGCGGCAUUUCACCGGUAGCUCGAGCUAAAAAUAAUUUUGUUGCAUGCAUUUGUUCGUGCGUUGCACUUUCGGCGUGUUAGCGGUGCGCAAAGUGAUUGACAGAUAGGCGUGUUGACUCUGAAAAUUUAACGGUUGCAAUUUAAAUGUUUAAGUGUAUUAAUUGAAAUCAAGUGUAAUUGACUGUUAAAGUAUGUUUUCGGUGAUCAAAAAAGUUAAAUGUUUAUAAAUAAAGAUUAAUCAAUAAACUUUAUAAUAAAUUAAGCGCUUUUGCUUCAUUUGUGUAAUCUGCAAACGAAGCUUAAAGUGGACUGAUUAAAAAUAAAAAGCACGUGAAUCGAUCAAUGAAAAUCACUGCUGAUCUUGCGCUAUCACUAUACUACAAUUUCUAACUUUGAUUCUAGUGAAUAAAUAGUGAAUUCAGUUUCGAUUUACUUGACUGCUUUUGAAGUGAAUCGAAAACACCAGAAGUGCAUAAAAUUAUAGGCAAUUCCAAAUAUUGUCGUUCAGUGAGCGUGUCAAUUUGUAUGCCCAGCAAAGUCCGCUCUGGUAACACCUUCUUGAUUUAAAAUAAAACGCAGCAAAAUGAGAGAUCGCUGCGCUCACCAGGAAUGCAGACAGCAAACAAAUUCGAUGGUAAAGUCUCUUCGGCAAAUCUUGAGUGAUAACUACAAAGAAAAAAGUAAAUAUAGCACCAUGAAGCAAACAGUUAAACCGUGGCGUAACGAUCAGUGAUCGCAGAGCAAACAGGACACUUUAAAUAAAAAAAAUAAAUUGUAGUUUGAAGCUGGUUAAAAGUUUGGUUAUCUGAUUUCAAUAUAAUAUGGUAUAACCGUAUGAACACUAAUAUCGGUUAGUUGUUUAAAUAGGUUGGCGACCACAAUGCGUCUUUAUAUGUUAAUUAGAAAAAUUAAUAUACAAGAUACUGGCGUGUAUUCGCUAAUUAGAAAAAUCUAGAAGGGUUGAAAUUUUGAAAAACUGGAGAUAUUAUUACAGUAAAGGUCAACAAGUAUUCGAGUAUUUUAUUAAAACGUGAUCAUGACUUUACAUAGACUGAUCGUGUUAGGUACUAAAAUGUUGGGAGAAGAUCACUUCUAUUAUUAUCUUUAAGUGAACUACGAUGGGUUUUUAUUAAAGUACAGUAACCAAUUUAAACUUUUUUUUAUAUGCUAUGCAUUCAAAAUUUCAGAAGAUCACUUGAUAAUAAGUAGUUUAAUGAAGUGUUAGAAUAUUUGGUUUUUUGAGUGAAAACUUAUUAUAUUCUUGAGUUUUUAAGCACUUUUUACAUUUCAGUAAGUAAUUAUUUAGGUAGAACCAUCGCUAAACUCUCACUCGUUAUAUCUGAUCUUGUUGCGAGAUCGGAAAAUACAGAUUUCAAGGCUGAUCUCUCUAAUUUUAUUUCGUAUUUUAAACUGUAACCACUUCACUUUACCAACAAAAUUUACAAAUUAAACUUGGGUAUGAAAAUAGUUAAAAUGAUGGUAAAUGAUCAGUUAUCUUGUUGCUCACCGUUCAAGUGCUUGUUUAUUGUUUCAGUGCAAAUUACCUACUUAGUAAUAUUGUCUGUAGGAUACUAUGUUAGUCACGUAUACAAUAUCACUUCAUUGACUAAAGUGUAUAAGUGUGAGCUUCGAGAACAUAAAAGGAUCGUGUUAAACUCACUUGCAUUAUGUGCGUGUGGAAAAUUAGUGCAAACAACCCUUUUGUUAUACUUAGCAGACCUCUCUUUAAGUUGGAACCAUAUUACGGUUAUGGAUAAGUAUGUUAUAUAAUAUUUGCUUAUGACGCAGACAUACCAAACAAAUUUACUCAGCAAAUAUUGAGCACUUGAGGUAGUUUGAAGUAGUUAUCGAUGUGUGAGCCGGACUCGAGCAAAUAUUUGUAAAGGUGAAGCGAAAAUAAACCAAAAUAUAUAUAUGUAUAUACAUAGGUAAUAAUUAAAUAGCGAUUUUCGGUUGCUUAUGAAUUUUGCAUUUCUUUGAGAUUUUUUCUUCUUCUUCGUUUUUUUUUUUUUUUUUUUUUUUGUACCGAAAUUCGAUAUUGUUACCAAUAUUGCUCUUUCGUUAUUGGUUUUUGCCACAAUUUUCGGUUUUGUUUUGAUUUUUGGGUAUUUUUAGGCAUGUGACGCAUGUCGCAUGGAAUUCGAGAUUAUGCAACAUUGGUCAGCAACAAAAGAUCGGUUGGAGAAAAGCAAUUAAAUGAACAAAAACCGUUAAAUUUUUACUCAAUGCUUAUAAAAUGAGCGUCAAAUGAGAAAACGAAUAAAAAAACAACAAAUUAUACACGCAGGAAAUAAAUGGAUUGUUUUUGUGCAGCCUUUUUUGUAGCAAAUCUGCAGAAAAAAGUGCGAAAACAAUUGAUGAGUGGCACUUGAAAGUGUUACUUUCAACAAGCCAUAAAAGCAACAACCAAUGAGUGGCGAUUAUGAAAAUCAUAGAAGAAACACAGACUAACGUGCAUACAUAUACACCCGCAAUAAAGCAAUUGAAAUGUCAUUGCACAAAGCCAAAGCCUACAAGGCACUAUAAUAACAACAAAAACAAACAACCGUAAACAAAAUUUAAAAAGAAACGACGAAGAAAAUAUUGAAGGAAAAAAAUUGAAGAAAAAUUUGAAAAAAAAAGUUGAAAAUAAAAACUGAGAAAAAACCACUAAACGCUUAACAAAGCCAAGGUGACCAGACUAUGACCGAACGUCAGGUAAUUUAAAGGCGAGCAACUGUCUAAGCGGCAACCAAAGCAGGCAUGCCGCUAACGAGCGCUCACACACGUGAUUGUUGUUGUUGCAUUCCGGAUAUGAGUGCGGGUUUUUUGGGUUCAAGCAACAGCUGGCCACAAAAUGUGUGGAAGUGAGGCGUUGCUUUGUUUGUUGUUGUUGUUGACUUUUUGUUAUUUGCUUAACAGCCAAUCGACGGUCAUAAAAAUAUGAUUAAGCGCGCAUGCGUGCCACAAGCUACCUACAACAACAACAACAGCCACAUAUGGUGCUUAUAUGAAAAUGCAGGUCAUACACAGCCUAUAAAUGAAUAUGUGUAAGAGGAAAUUUUUUAUGAAAAACAAAUAGUGACAAAAAAAUACAACAAACACUGCGUAGUCAGUUUUUCUUCGCUGGCGGCAAAAAUGACAUAAAAGUCAUAAUCAUUGAUCAAAUAGCGGUUGCUUGGUGAUCAAGCGAUCGCGCAACUUUGAUGACAAAGAAAGGAUGGCAGGCAAGACAGUUAGACUUUAAA